AUGCCGGCCUCGUCCACCGUCCACGUGCUGCAGCUGCUGCGGGAGCUGCUCGCCUUCGUGCUCCUCAGCUACACGGUGCUCAUCGGGGCGCUGCUGCUGGCCGGCUGGACCACCUACUUCCUGGUGCUGAAGUGA
This is a non-coding RNA of Callithrix jacchus (white-tufted-ear marmoset), 135 nucleotides long. The record is from RefSeq and is a predicted model, not a curated record. Lineage: Eukaryota; Metazoa; Chordata; Mammalia; Primates; Cebidae.